Molecule: ribosomal RNA, 705 nt
Filed under: Triticum aestivum (bread wheat)
Lineage: Eukaryota; Viridiplantae; Streptophyta; Magnoliopsida; Poales; Poaceae
Description: partial small subunit ribosomal RNA
Source: RNAcentral
AUGGCAAUGGCUGCUUCCCCGACAAGAGGGCUGCCUUGCUCUCCUUCAGCAAGAUCUUUACUGAACUACAAAGGUGACACUCUGAACCACGGUAGCUUCUUGCCUCCCAUUGAAGUCCUUAAACGGACAGUUUCAUCAGCUGAUGAUAAAGGCAAGGCCGCUACUGUGAUCGAUGAAGGCAUUCGUUCAUUGGAUGGUCAAUUUCGCAAGGCUGCAUCUUACUCUACCAAUGACGAUUCUGCCACACAUGACUCUGCCGCAAAUACCUCAGCCAAGCAAAGUCCUCAAGUCACAGCACCCAGGGUGAUGACUGACCGUGAGUUACUCCUCAGUCUUCAUCAGAAGGUUGAUCGCAAUCACAAAUGGGUAAAGCGUCAGUUUGGUGCACUUCUUCACAAUAUGACCUCAACACACAAUGCAGUGAAGAAGAACCAAUACUACCUUCAUGAAACCUUUAACCACACCUGGGCUGUCCUCACUCAUGUCUAUAGCGCUGAAGAACUGAAGACUAUGGGUCUCAAGGAAGAAUUUGACUGGUCUGCACCUCCUCCGAAGAAAUUCAAGAGGGUCAAAAUUCCUCCACUGGUGGUCAGCUCUUAUUCUUCAUCGCGUGACACUGAUGAGUAUGAAGAUUUCGACGACACUACGGCAGGCCCUGCUACAACAAACAACCCUGACAACGCUGGCGCUCCUCCAUCGACUUGA